RNAcentral lists this ribosomal RNA (481 nucleotides) under uncultured bacterium. RNAcentral's name for it is "bacterial SSU rRNA". It matches the Rfam family "Bacterial small subunit ribosomal RNA", at positions 28 to 507 of the family's 1533-position model. The record is from RNAcentral.
GAUGAACGCCGGCGGCGUGCUUAACACAUGCAAGUCGAACGAAGCACUUUAAUUGAUUCUUCGGAAUGAAGUUUUGUGACUGAGUGGCGGACGGGUGAGUAACGCGUGGGUAACCUGCCUCAUACAGGGGGAUAACAGUUGGAAACGACUGCUAAUACCGCAUAAGCGCACGGGAUUGCAUGAUCCAGUGUGAAAAACUCCGGUGGUAUGAGAUGGACCCGCGUCUGAUUAGGCAGUUGGUGAGGUUAAACGGCCCACCAAACCUACGAUCAGUAGCCGGUCUGAGAGGAUGAACGGCCACACUGGAACUGAGACACGGUCCAGACUCCUACGGGAGGCAGCAGUGGGGAAUAUUGGGCAAUGGGCGCAAGCCUGACCCAGCAACGCCGCGUGAAGGAAGAAGGCUUUCGGGUUGUAAACUUCUUUUAAGAGGGAAGAGCAGAAGACGGUACCUCUAGAAUAAGCCACGGCUAACUACGUG